This 389-nucleotide long non-coding RNA is filed under the name Malus domestica (apple). RNAcentral describes it as "long non-coding RNA (MDOM_LNC011670)". The record is from RNAcentral. Lineage: Eukaryota; Viridiplantae; Streptophyta; Magnoliopsida; Rosales; Rosaceae.
ACUCACUCUCUCUGAAACGCCACCGUUUCCACUCACAAAGCUUCAGAGUUCGUCAAUGGCCGAGGAAGCUCCCAGCAAACGCCCACUGAAAAUCAUAGCCGGCGCCGACUCCUUCGGCUGCUCUCUUAAGGACGCCUUGGUGUCCCACCUCCGCUCCCUCAACAUCGACGUCGAAGACCUUGGCACCUCCUCCUACUACUCCGUCGCCGCUGACGUCGGCAGCCGCGUCUCCUCCUCCACCUCCGAUUCCGAGGAGAUCCGCGGCCUCGUCGCCUGUGGUACCGGCGUCGGAGUCUCAAUCUUCGCCAACAAGUUCCCCGGCGUAUUCGCCGCCACGUGCCUCACUCCCUCCGACGCCCAGAACGCCCGAUCCAUCAACAACUCCAACG